UUUGUAGGUGGCCAACUAAGUCAGACGUGAAAUCCCUCAGCUUAACUGGGGAACUGCGUCUGAUACUGGUUGGCUUGAGUGCAGGAGAGGAACGCGGAAUUCCAGGUGUAACGGUGAAAUGCGUAGAUAUCUGGAGGAACACCGGUGGCGAAGGCGGCGUUCUGGACUGCAACUGACACUGAGAAACGAAAGCCAGGUAGCAAACG
RNAcentral lists this ribosomal RNA (206 nucleotides) under uncultured bacterium. RNAcentral's name for it is "partial 16S ribosomal RNA". It matches the Rfam family "Bacterial small subunit ribosomal RNA", at positions 568 to 774 of the family's 1533-position model. The record is from RNAcentral.